Molecule: long non-coding RNA, 853 nt
Organism: Papaver somniferum (opium poppy)
Lineage: Eukaryota; Viridiplantae; Streptophyta; Magnoliopsida; Ranunculales; Papaveraceae
Exons: 5
Source: RefSeq, a predicted model, not a curated record
AUAUUUCUCUUCGUUUUUUUAUUUUGAGUUUUCAAGCAUUCGAUUCUCUUCGAGAAGCUGAGAGGUUGAUUUCUUUUCGGAUCAACUGAAAUUCUCUAUAGAUUUCAUUCUAAUCGUGUUUCUUUUUCACCCGGAAGGAGCUUUAAAAUUUUAGAGGUGAUUUUAAUGUUUGUUCUUUGUUUUUCUUUCUUCCGAUUUUAGAUCUGGUUUCAGAUUUCAAGUGAUUGUUUAGAUUCGGAUUUAAUACGGAGAUUUUAUGGUUCUAUUUUUCUGGAUAAUUGGAGACGCAGUGAUUCUUCAGGAAACAAGAGGAGGAGGAAGUUUUAAGUGAGCGUUGUUCGUUCCAAUGUCAUCCUGCAGCAGUUGAUUCUGUUCAGGAGCUACUGUGAAGUGGAUGUGGGAAAAUGGUGAUUCAAGACUUGAGUGUUGGCUUCUGUGAACUGGUGCACUGGAAAAUCUGCACGACAGGCUUCUGCUGCAAAACUGUAUUUAUUCUCUAUCUAUGGUGCAGUUCUGUUUAGUCCGAAAUCUCGGGAUAGGCUUCGUGUCCGUGUUUACACUACCUAUUCAUUUGAUUCCCGUUAACAUAAGUGCAUCAAGGGAUUGGAGAUGGUUGCAAGUGGGUGAAUUGGCUGACUGCAAUCAGUUGAAGAAGAAAAUAUAUGGAGUUUGUCAUCAACUAAAUUCAUGGAUUUUUGUGCUCGGAUUCAAAUUAAGUUUUGUAUAGAAUUCAGCCUACACGAAAGGUGAAAAUGUUGUUGGUUGUUGAGAAAUGGGAAAAGUGUUUAUGUUGUUUGGUUUGUAUGGGAGUUAUUGAAACAUGAAAGAAGAUGAUGAUGUUGUUAUGACUGCA